UACGGAGGGGGCGAGCGUUAUUCGGAAUUAUUGGGCGUAAAGGGCGCGUAGGCGGCCUGAUAAGUCAAAGGUGAAAUCCCUCGGCUCAACUGAGGAACUGCCUUUGAAACUGUUAGGCUUGAGGCCGGGAGGGGGUAGCGGAAUUCCCAGUGUAGCGGUGAAAUGCGUAGAUAUUGGGAGGAACACCGGUGGCGAAGGCGGCUACCUGGACCGGUUCUGACGCUGAUGCGCGAAAGCGUGGGUAGCAAACAGG
RNAcentral lists this ribosomal RNA (253 nucleotides) under uncultured bacterium. RNAcentral describes it as "partial 16S ribosomal RNA". It matches the Rfam family "Bacterial small subunit ribosomal RNA", at positions 524 to 776 of the family's 1533-position model. The record is from RNAcentral.